RNAcentral lists this unclassified non-coding RNA (459 nucleotides) under uncultured Malassezia. RNAcentral's name for it is "partial contains 5.8S ribosomal RNA, internal transcribed spacer 2, and large subunit ribosomal RNA". Lineage: Eukaryota; Fungi; Basidiomycota; Malasseziomycetes; Malasseziales; Malasseziaceae. The record is from RNAcentral.
AACGCACCUUGCGCUCUAUGGUAUUCCGUGGAGCAUGCCUGUUUGAGUGCCGUGAAUUCUCUCUCCCCAAGCGGUUGCGAUUAUUGCGCUGCUUUUGGCGGACGAGGUUGAAUGGGUGCUUCUGCCUGUUUCUUGCUAAACAGGCUCGCCCGAAAUGCAUUAGCGCCUUUUUGGGACACAAUCUCUGCAAUACCGCUCCUAAAGGGAGGGCGGCAGAGAGCGGGGGGGUUCCCACCCGUUAGCCAUACCAAACUUUGCCCAGGCAAGCGCAUGGCAUGAUACGUCAUUUGCUGUGUGCGCGCUCUAGGCAAGGGGCCGACGCGGUGCCUUCUGCACUCUGUGAGUUGUGUUGGUGCGCUACCAUCCUGCGUGGAGGCUGGUCCGUGCGAGCAGCCUUGUGAACGCAUUCCCUUUUUCAUUUCUGGUCUCAAAUCAGGUAGGAUCACCCGCCGAACUUAA